CGAUGAUCCAGGAGCUUGCUCCUGGGGAUUAGUGGCGAACGGGUGAGUAACACGUGAGCAAUCUGCCCUUGACUCUGGGAUAAGCGCUGGAAACGGCGUCUAAUACCGGAUACGACCCUCGGAGGCAUCUCCUGGGGGUGGAAAGAACUUCGGUCAAGGAUGAGCUCGCGGCCUAUCAGCUUGUUGGUGAGGUAAUGGCUCACCAAGGCGACGACGGGUAGCCGGCCUGAGAGGGUGACCGGCCACACUGGGACUGAGACACGGCCCAGACUCCUACGGGAGGCAGCAGUGGGGAAUAUUGCACAAUGGGCGCAAGCCUGAUGCAGCAACGCCGCGUGAGGGACGACGGCCUUCGGGUUGUAAACCUCUUUUAGCAGGGAAGAAGCGAGAGUGACGGUACCUGCAGAAAAAGCACCGGCUAACUACGUGCCAGCAGCCGCGGUAAUACGUAGGGUGCAAGCGUUGUCCGGAAUUAUUGGGCGUAAAGAGCUCGUAGGCGGUCUGUCGCGUCUGCUGUGAAAACCCGAGGCUCAACCUCGGGCUUGCAGUGGGUACGGGCAGACUAGAGUGCGGUAGGGGAGAUUGGAAUUCCUGGUGUAGCGGUGGAAUGCGCAGAUAUCAGGAGGAACACCGAUGGCGAAGGCAGAUCUCUGGGCCGUAACUGACGCUGAGGAGCGAAAGCGUGGGGAGCAAACAGGCUUAGAUACCCUGGUAGUCCACGCCGUAAACGUUGGGAACUAGAUGUGGGGACCAUUCCACGGUCUCCGUGUCGUAGCUAACGCAUUAAGUUCCCCGCCUGGGGAGUAC
Molecule: ribosomal RNA, 807 nt
Filed under: Agrococcus sp.
Lineage: Bacteria; Bacillati; Actinomycetota; Actinomycetes; Micrococcales; Microbacteriaceae
Description: bacterial SSU rRNA
Rfam family: Bacterial small subunit ribosomal RNA
Source: RNAcentral